This 506-nucleotide ribosomal RNA is filed under the name uncultured bacterium. RNAcentral describes it as "partial 16S ribosomal RNA". It matches the Rfam family "Bacterial small subunit ribosomal RNA", at positions 28 to 507 of the family's 1533-position model. The record is from RNAcentral.
GACGAACGCUGGCGGCGUGCUUAACACAUGCAAGUCGAACGGUGAAGGGACUGGUUUUGCUGGUCCUGGAUGAGUGGCGAACGGGUGAGUAACACGUGAGUAACCUGCCCCCUUCUUCUGGAUAACCGCAUGAAAGUGUGGCUAAUACGGGAUAUUCUGGGUCUGUCGCAUGGUGGGCCUGGGAAAGAUUGCGCCUUUUUUGGUGUUUUUGGUGGGGGAUGGGCUCGCGGCCUAUCAGCUUGUUGGUGGGGUGAUGGCCUACCAAGGCGGUGACGGGUAGCCGGCCUGAGAGGGUGGACGGUCACACUGGGACUGAGACACGGCCCAGACUCCUACGGGAGGCAGCAGUGGGGAAUAUUGCACAAUGGGCGCAAGCCUGAUGCAGCGACGCCGCGUGAGGGAUGGAGGCCUUCGGGUUGUGAACCUCUUUCGCCAGUGAAGCAGGCCUGCCUCUUUUUGUGGGUGGGUUGACGGUAGCUGGAUAAGAAGCGCCGGCUAACUACGCG